AGCCGAAACGCCCUCCGGGGCGUCCGCGGGAGGUGGCCUACCCGCGCUGAGGAUGGCAGGCCGUA
Molecule: non-coding RNA, 65 nt
Filed under: Streptomyces sp. ISL-12
Lineage: Bacteria; Bacillati; Actinomycetota; Actinomycetes; Kitasatosporales; Streptomycetaceae
Source: RNAcentral